Dendroctonus ponderosae (mountain pine beetle) is the source of this 440-nucleotide long non-coding RNA. RefSeq lists it as uncharacterized. The record is from RefSeq and is a predicted model, not a curated record. NCBI's taxonomy places the organism in Eukaryota, Metazoa, Arthropoda, Insecta, Coleoptera, Curculionidae. The transcript has 2 exons.
AUUUGGGGUUGAUUUGAAACGCGAAUUGGACUGGUUUCUGAUGCAGGCGGUUCUUCAACUAAGCAACAUUAGCUUGAGGGACUCUAUAGGUCCAACUGGAAGGCGUUUGCAUGGGCAAUAGGGAAUUUUCCCCCGCUUUUAGCUGAUUAAAUGCUGUAAAUUCUAUAUCUAGUAUCUUUUUAUGCGCUUAUUUCUUGCUGUUACAUUUAUAUCAAAUGUACACUCGAUCGUCAAAUCCGUAUAGAUUUUUCAGUAUCAGUACUAUUAAGUUCCUUACGCCGCUAACAUCUAUUAAGUUAUUUUUUUCAUCAUGUUACUAUGUAUAAUGCAAUAGAAUGUCUUAAACUUGUUUCUCUUUAACAAUUUCCAUAUUAACCGUCCAAGAAUGUAUUUUUUACGGCAAAUAAAUUGACGGCAUGAAAAAUUGCCCUAAUAUUUCA